Molecule: long non-coding RNA, 1729 nt
Filed under: Carica papaya (papaya)
Lineage: Eukaryota; Viridiplantae; Streptophyta; Magnoliopsida; Brassicales; Caricaceae
Description: long non-coding RNA (CPAP_LNC004573)
Source: RNAcentral
UCAAGUACAUCUUUACAUCUCUGAAAACUCAAAGAAUCAUCCCUCUCUCAAUUACAAGUUUCCUUACAGCCAACUAAUAUCCAAGUGCAAUACAUAUUAGUAUGGUGUGUGUAUAUGUAUAACAAAAUCAGCAUCCUAUGUAAUCAAAUCAACACCGUCACCUAUACAUCGUACUCCAUCGACGGUACUUCGGCUUCUGCUUUCUCCUUCAUGCCAUCUGGAAAUAACAUAUAAUGAGCAAACACAGGUCCAGUAAAAUAAAUUUUGAACCGAAAUUACAGCGUCGCAAUUUGCUAAGGCUCUAACUCAAUUCACCUUAAUUUUACCCAUUCCUACCCUUAUUACGACUCGCCAACGUUCAACCCAACCCUAUAUCCAUCAAGGUACCAUACACCCUUACGGUUAACAGUCCUGCAAUCAAUACGUCAACAAAACAAGACAUAUAAACGUUUACCUUCACCAACACAGAACUGAUCCAGCAUUUUUAAACACAGCUAAAUCCCCCCAAAACCCCCACCCACUCCAAUCCGUCACUCAUUCAGCAACACAAACUACCCACUCUAACAUCUACCUUGGCUGACUGUAACACCAAACGGCAAAUUUAGGCAUGCCCCGGCCAUCCCUUGGCCACACACACACCCAAUCGCCUACCUUGGCUUUUUCAGAAUGCAGCUCAUACGACACCGACCACCCCGUGGCCACACACGCACACAUACUCACCUGUUUUGGCUCUUCAGAAACAACAAAAAACAGCAAUCAAGUGCAAUGUCGGCCCUCCACUGGCCACUCACCCAAUCAAUCGCCUAUCCGGCUUUUCGGCAUAUCACACCACUGCCUCGUACCGGCUCGGCCAAUCCAUUGGCCCCUCACAUCCACAGCAUUCAGAACCGGGUAUCCAAUUCAUGGAAACGCCUCUUUUACGCAUCACAACCGGCCAUCAAGUGACCACGCACACACACAACCUCGCCAAUUUCGGCUUCAUAGAAUGACCGACAACCUACUCGCUAACUGUUCUUCAUUUUCGCUCACAUUCCGUUCUCAACUUCCUAUGAUGCAACUCUCAUCACUAAAUUCCCGCUAACAAAGUAACCAUGCUUCAUUCCAACCUAUCAGCCUCACCAGAGGCCCUGCUACAUUCUAAUCCACACAUCUAAUCCUACUUCACCACCGAGUUCUAAACUAAACCUUUCCAACGUUUGCUACUGAUCACCACAAGUUUGAGCGAUCUCUCUCUUCUUCACUCCAGGCGGUCACUUCCUCACUGUUCUUCUAUUCUUCCACUCAACACUCCACGAUCAAGCUCAACUUGAGCCCUAACCAAUUCACACACAUUGCUAACACAAAAUUUUAAUUUCAAAAUUUAUUUAUCUAUGGUUUCCAUCUCCCUCUGAUUCAGUAGAAUUUCUCUCCAAUCUCGCUGUUCCUGGCCGGUUCAGUCGCAAUUUUCUUAACUCUUCUCGAUCUUUUCUCCCUCUCGUGGCCUUCUUUUUUUUUUUCCUCCCUUUUUACUUCAGCCCACUACCUCUUUUUUAUCCUCGACCUGGCUCAAUCCGAACCGUUGAAAUCCUCUACAUGAUCUCUACCGUCCAUCUUGGUGUUCCCGUACUCUCUCUCUUAUGAUUCACUUCCGCCUCCACCAGUCCCUCCUUUGUAAAACACUGCAUCCGCAUUAAUUCCCCUUUUGAAUACCCAAAAUACCAAAACGUUACAUCAACAAUUAGUGGGACUU